Patella vulgata (common limpet) is the source of this 574-nucleotide long non-coding RNA. RefSeq lists it as uncharacterized. Lineage: Eukaryota; Metazoa; Mollusca; Gastropoda; Patellidae. The transcript has 3 exons. The record is from RefSeq and is a predicted model, not a curated record.
UCUCUUUGUAGUUUUGAGGACGGAAAGUGGAAUGCUGCUUUUAGUAGUUACGAACCACAUCACAAGCGAACCAAUUGGAUAUGGACAUCUGAGUUUCAUGAAGGAGACAAAAACGUAUAUUGUAGGAAAAAAAUAAAAGUUGAACCAAUAAUAAGAACAAUAACAUCUGAUGCUGUUGACAACAUAAUAGAUGAAAACUCCAGCGUUACUAUUAACUGUUUGGUUGAAAGUAUCCCAGUGGCGCAUGUAUCCUGGUCCAGAUCACAACAAGGGGGACAACUCUAUUCUGGUAGUCAAUAUACCAUACCUAAAGCUAGUUGUAAACAUACAGAUAAUUAUACCUGUACAGCUAGUAAUAAUAUUGGUCAACCUGUAUCUAAAACUAUUCCACUCAUUGAUAGAUGUACCCCAGUUGUUAUGACUACCCAGACUAUAGUUGUUAUAACUAUGGAUGUUAUAGUUGUACCACGUGGAGAAACGGGUAUAAUAUCAGUCAACGUUUUAGCUUAUCCACUUCCGGUAUUCACCUGGUAUUAUCACCAACAAGAUGGCAGUCACCAACCAGUUACCAUGG